Molecule: ribosomal RNA, 1215 nt
Filed under: Triticum aestivum (bread wheat)
Lineage: Eukaryota; Viridiplantae; Streptophyta; Magnoliopsida; Poales; Poaceae
Description: partial small subunit ribosomal RNA
Source: RNAcentral
AUGCCGCCUACAUACAAACCGCGACGCCCAUCUCCAUCUCCAUCUCCAUCUCCAUCGCCAUCGCCAUCGCCAUCGAUUGUUUCCUUGACGACGGCAUCGAGAGAGCGCGCGGCAAUGGCGAUCUCCUCGGCCCCGGUGGCGCCGCGGCGCCGCAGGUCGGCGGUGCUCCUGAUGGUGAACUACGCGGCGCUGCUGGUCGGGUCGGUGGCCUCGAGCCUGCUGUCCCGGUUCUACUUCGAGCACGGCGGGCAGAACAAGUGGGUGGUCACGCUGGUGCAGUCGGCGGGGUUCCCCACGCUGGUGGUCGCGGUGUUCCUCGCCGGCCGCCCCGCCUCCGUGCCGCGGCCGUUUCUUUGGUUCUCGCGGCGGUUCCUGGCCGUGUGCCUCGUCAUCGGCGGUCUCAUGGGCGUCAACAACCUUCUCUUCUCCUACAGCUCCUCGCUCCUGCCCGUGUCCACCUCGUCGCUGCUGCUCUCCACGCAGCUUGCCUUCACGCUCGUCCUCGCCGUCGCCAUCGUCCGUCACCCGCUCACCUUCGUCAAUCUCAACGCCGUCGUGCUCAUGACGCUCUGCUCCGUGCUCCUCGCCCUCCGGUCAGGCGACGCCGGCGAGAGCCCGGACAGGAAGGGGUACAUCAUCGGCUUCGUCGUCACGCUCGGUGCCGCAGGGCUCUUCUCUGCAUACCUGCCGGUGAUGGAGCUGUUGUAUAGGGAGGUGGUCUCCGGCGGGUUCAUCCUGGCGGUGGAGGUGCAGGCAGUGAUGCAGGCCAUGGCGUCCGUCGUGGCAGCGAUCGGGCUCGCGGCGACCGGCGGCUUCGCCAACGACGUGGCCCCCUGGAAGGGGUCCCACGCCGUUUACUGGGUCGUGGUGGCAACGUUGGUCGUGACAUGGCAGGCGUGCUUCAUGGGCACCGCCGGCGUGAUCUACUUGACGUCGUCGCUCCACAGCGGCGUGUGCAUGGCGGCGGUGCUCACGGCCAAUGUCAUUGGCGGCGUCGUCGUGUUCGGCGACCCGUUUGGCGCCGAGAAGGCCGUCGCCACCGCGCUCUGCGUCUGGGGCCUGUCCUCCUACCUCUACGGCGAGUACACCAAGAGCAAGAAGAAAGCCGCCGAUGAUCAGGACGAGGACAGAAUCCUCUCCGCCGCCCGUGACGACGGCGAGAGCGUGCACAAGAGCCUCACGGCCGCCGUUCUCGAGGCCGUCGAAACCGUUUGA